AAACGCCCGGUCCCAUUCCGAACCCGGAAGCUAAGCCCUCCAGCGCCGAUGGUACUGCACUCGACAGGGUGUGGGAGAGUAGGACACCGCCGAAC
This 95-nucleotide ribosomal RNA is filed under the name Rhodococcus sp. 05-2221-1B. RNAcentral also lists the same sequence under 2 other names. The record is from RNAcentral. Lineage: Bacteria; Bacillati; Actinomycetota; Actinomycetes; Mycobacteriales; Nocardiaceae.